This is a long non-coding RNA of Schistocerca piceifrons (Central American locust), 215 nucleotides long. RefSeq lists it as uncharacterized. The transcript has 4 exons. The record is from RefSeq and is a predicted model, not a curated record. NCBI's taxonomy places the organism in Eukaryota, Metazoa, Arthropoda, Insecta, Orthoptera, Acrididae.
GCAGCCAGCAGAGGGAGCACAGAGCACACACCGGCCCAAGCUCCAGGCGACCCGCAGCAGCCGGCGCGCGACCGCGGCCCUGAAAUCAUCCUAUCUGAGCGAGAAGUGAAUCUGGCCUUUGGUGAAGCCACUUUCUACUCUUUUAUGCAAGGAGUGGACAGAAUCUACAGGAAGUGCUCACGUCAUCUGGAGAAACGGCUGUUCAGGCAAAAAGG